This 274-nucleotide ribosomal RNA is filed under the name uncultured bacterium. RNAcentral's name for it is "partial 16S ribosomal RNA". It matches the Rfam family "Bacterial small subunit ribosomal RNA", at positions 523 to 796 of the family's 1533-position model. The record is from RNAcentral.
AUACAGAGGGUGCGAGCGUUAAUCGGAAUUACUGGGCGUAAAGCGCGCGUAGGCGGUCUAUUAAGUCAGAUGUGAAAUCCCAGGGCUCAACCUUGGAACUGCAUCUGAUACUGGGUAGCUAGAGUUUUGGAGAGGGAAGUAGAAUUUCAGGUGUAGCGGUGAAAUGCAUAGAGAUCUGAAGGAAUACCAGUGGCGAAGGCGACUUCCUGGCCAAAAACUGACGCUGAGGUGCGAAAGCGUGGGUAGCAAACGGGAUUAGAAACCCCAGUAGUCC